AGUGAAUAGAUACCCAGGUAGUCCCAGCUGUAAACGAUGCGCGUUAGGUGUAUCGGUGACCACGAGUCACCGAGGUGCCGAAGAGAAAUCGUGAAACGUGCCGCCUGGGAAGUACGGUCGCAAGGCUGAAACUUAAAGGAAUUGGCGGGGGAGCACCACAACAGGUGGAGCCUGCGGUUUAAUCGGACUCAACGCCGGGAAACUCACCAGAUAAGACAGCUGAAUGAUAGUCGGGCUGAAGACUCUACUUGACUAGCUGAGAGGAGGUGCAUGGCCGUCGUCAGUUCGUACUGUGAAGCAUCCUGUUAAGUCAGGCAACGAGCGAGACCCACGCCAACAGUUGCCAGCUCGUCCUCCGGGAUGGAGGGGACACUGUUGGGACCGCCUCUGCUAAAGAGGAGGAAGGAAUGGGCAACGGUAGGUCAGCAUGCCCCGAAUUAUCUGGGCUACACGCGGGCUACAAUGGGUGGGACAAUGGGUAUCGACACCGAAAGGUGAAGGCAAUCUCCUAAACCCGAUCCUUAGUUCGGAUUGU
RNAcentral lists this ribosomal RNA (535 nucleotides) under uncultured bacterium. RNAcentral's name for it is "bacterial SSU rRNA". It matches the Rfam family "Archaeal small subunit ribosomal RNA", at positions 723 to 1257 of the family's 1478-position model. The record is from RNAcentral.